Molecule: ribosomal RNA, 461 nt
Filed under: uncultured bacterium
Lineage: Bacteria
Description: bacterial SSU rRNA
Rfam family: Bacterial small subunit ribosomal RNA
Source: RNAcentral
AGAGUUUGAUCCUGGCUCAGAUUGAACGCUGGCGACGUGCUUAACACAUGCAAGUCGUGCGAGAAAGGAGACUUCGGUCUCUGAGUAGAGCGGCGCACGGGUGAGUAACGCGUGGAUGAUCUACCCUUGAGUUCGGGAUAACGGUGCGAAAGCGCCGCUAAUACCGUAUAACAAUCCAUUUCAUCGUGGGUUCAAAGCAGGCCUCUUCAUGAAAGCUUGCGCUUGGGGAUGAGUCCGCGUCCCAUUAGCUUGUUGGCGGGGUAACGGCCCACCAAGGCUACGAUGGGUAGCUGGUCUGAGAGGAUGAUCAGCCACACUGGAACUGAAACACGGUCCAGACUCCUACGGGAGGCAGCAGUGGGGAAUAUUGCGCAAUGGGGGAAACCCUGACGCAGCGACGUCGUGUGAGGGAAGAAGGCCUUCGGGUCGUAAACCUCUGUCAGAAGGGAAGAACAUCCGGG